Molecule: ribosomal RNA, 1208 nt
Filed under: Erythrina witches'-broom phytoplasma
Lineage: Bacteria; Bacillati; Mycoplasmatota; Mollicutes; Acholeplasmatales; Acholeplasmataceae
Description: bacterial SSU rRNA
Rfam family: Bacterial small subunit ribosomal RNA
Source: RNAcentral
AGAGAUAAGGGAGUCUUCUCGAUUCAAAAGACCUAGCAAUAGUUAUGCCCUAGGGAGGAGCUUGCGUCACAUUAGUUAGUUGGUGGGGUAAAGGCCUACCAAGACUAUGAUGUGUAGCCGGGCUGAGAGGUUGAACGGCCACAUUGGGACUGAGACACGGCCCAAACUCCUACGGGAGGCAGCAGUAGGGAAUUUUCGGCAAUGGAGGAAACUCUGACCGAGCAACGCCGCGUGAACGAUGAAGUAUUUCGGUACGUAAAGUUCUUUUAUUAGGGAAGAAUAAAUGAUGGAAAAAUCAUUCUGACGGUACCUAAUGAAUAAGCCCCGGCUAACUAUGUGCCAGCAGCCGCGGUAAUACAUAGGGGGCAAGCGUUAUCCGGAAUUAUUGGGCGUAAAGGGUGCGUAGGCGGUUAAAUAAGUUUAUGGUCUAAGUGCAAUGCUCAACAUUGUGAUGCUAUAAAAACUGUUUAGCUUAGAAUAAGAUAGAGCCAAGUGGAAUUCCCAUGUGUAGUGGUAAAAUGCGUAAAUAUAUGGAGGGACCCACAGUAGCGAAAGCCGGCUUGCUGGGUCUUUACUGACCCUGAGGCCCGAAAACGGUGGGGAGCCAACAAGGAUUAGAUACCCUGGGAGGCCACCGCCGUAAACCAUGAGGACUAAACGUGGGGGAAAACCCAGUGUUGGAAGUUACCACAUUAAAUACCUCCGCCGGAGAAGUACCGUACGCAAGUAUGAAACUUUAAAGGAAUUGACGGGCCUCCGCACAAGCGGUGGAUCAUGUUGUUUAAUUCGAAGGUACCCGAAAAACCUCACCAGGUCUUGACAUGCUUCUGCAAAACUGUAGAAACACAGUGGAGGUUAUCAGUUGCACAGGUGGUGCAUGGUUGUCGUCAGCUCGUGUCGUGAGAUGUUGGGUUAAGUCCCGCAACGAGCGCAACCCUUAUUGUUAGUUACCAGCACGUAAUGGUGGGGACUUUAGCAAGACUGCCAGUGAUAAAUUGGAGGAAGGUGGGGACGACGUCAAAUCAUCAUGCCCCUUAUGACCUGGGCUCCAAACGUGAUACAAUGGCUGUUACAAAGGGUAGCUGAAGCGCAAGUUUUUGGCGAAUCUCAAAAAAACAGUCUCAGUUCGGAUUGAAGUCUGCAACUCGACUUCCAUGGGGUUGGAAUCGCUAGUAAUCGCUUUAAAUUAGACCCCUUUUUAGUGUGAA